UGGGGAAUCUUGCGCAAUGGACGAAAGUCUGACGCAGCGACGCCGCGUGGGUGAUGAAGGCCUUCGGGUUGUAAAGCCCUGUGGGGAGGGACGAAUAAGUUUCGGCUAAUACCCGAAGCGAUGACGGUACCUCCUUAGCAAGCACCGGCUAACUCUGUGCCAGCAGCCGCGGUAAGACAGAGGGUGCAAACGUUGUUCGGAAUUACUGGGCGUAAAGCGCGUGUAGGCGGCCCGGCAAGUCGGAUGUGAAAGCCCUCGGCUCAACCGAGGAAGUGCAUUCGAAACUGCCGGGCUAGAGUCCUGGAGAGGAUAGUGGAAUUCUCGGUGUAGAGGUGAAAUUCGUAGAUAUCGAGAGGAACACCGGUGGCGAAGGCGGCUAUCUGGACGGUGACUGACGCUGAGACGCGAAAGCGUGGGGAGCAAACAG
RNAcentral lists this ribosomal RNA (427 nucleotides) under uncultured bacterium. RNAcentral describes it as "bacterial SSU rRNA". It matches the Rfam family "Bacterial small subunit ribosomal RNA", at positions 355 to 775 of the family's 1533-position model. The record is from RNAcentral.